Molecule: ribosomal RNA, 509 nt
Filed under: uncultured bacterium
Lineage: Bacteria
Description: partial 16S ribosomal RNA
Rfam family: Bacterial small subunit ribosomal RNA
Source: RNAcentral
ACGCACGCUGGCGGCGUGCUUAACACCUGCCAGUCGAACGAAGAGCGAUGGAAGCUUGCUUCUAUCAAUCUUCGUGGCGAACGGGUGAGUAACGCGUAAUCAACCUGCCCUUCAGAGGGGGACAACAGUUGGAAACGACUGCUAAUACCGCAUACGAUCUAACCUCGGCAUCGAGGAUAGAUGAAAGGUGGCCUCUACAUGUAAGCUAUCACUGAAGGAGGGGAUUGCGUCUGAUUAGCUAGUUGGAGGGGUAACGGCCCACCAAGGCGAUGAUCAGUAGCCGGUCUGAGAGGAUGAACGGCCACAUUGGGACUGAGACACGGCCCAGACGCCUACGGGAGGCAGCAGUGGGGAAUCUUCCGCAAUGGACGAAAGUCUGACGGAGCAACGCCGCGUGAGUGAUGACGGCCUUCGGGUUGUAAAGCUCUGUUAAUCGGGACGAAAGGCCUUCUUGCGAAUAGUUAGAAGGAUUGACGGUACCGGAAGAGAAAGCCACGGCUAACUACGUG